This 730-nucleotide ribosomal RNA is filed under the name Bacillus pumilus. RNAcentral's name for it is "bacterial SSU rRNA". It matches the Rfam family "Bacterial small subunit ribosomal RNA", at positions 31 to 743 of the family's 1533-position model. Lineage: Bacteria; Bacillati; Bacillota; Bacilli; Caryophanales; Bacillaceae. The record is from RNAcentral.
UUAAGAUGACGACCUACGUAUACAUAGCAGUGUCGAACGGACAGAAGGGAGCUUGCUCCCGGAUGUUAGCGGCGGACGGGUGAGUAACACGUGGGUAACCUGCCUGUAAGACUGGGAUAACUCCGGGAAACCGGAGCUAAUACCGGAUAGUUCCUUGAACCGCAUGGUUCAAGGAUGAAAGACGGUUUCGGCUGUCACUUACAGAUGGACCCGCGGCGCAUUAGCUAGUUGGUGGGGUAAUGGCUCACCAAGGCGACGAUGCGUAGCCGACCUGAGAGGGUGAUCGGCCACACUGGGACUGAGACACGGCCCAGACUCCUACGGGAGGCAGCAGUAGGGAAUCUUCCGCAAUGGACGAAAGUCUGACGGAGCAACGCCGCGUGAGUGAUGAAGGUUUUCGGAUCGUAAAGCUCUGUUGUUAGGGAAGAACAAGUGCGAGAGUAACUGCUCGCACCUUGACGGUACCUAACCAGAAAGCCACGGCUAACUACGUGCCAGCAGCCGCGGUAAUACGUAGGUGGCAAGCGUUGUCCGGAAUUAUUGGGCGUAAAGGGCUCGCAGGCGGUUUCUUAAGUCUGAUGUGAAAGCCCCCGGCUCAACCGGGGAGGGUCAUUGGAAACUGGGAAACUUGAGUGCAGAAGAGGAGAGUGGAAUUCCACGUGUAGCGGUGAAAUGCGUAGAGAUGUGGAGGAACACCAGUGGCGAAGGCGACUCUCUGGUCUGUAACUGA